CCUACGGGUGGCAGCAGUGGGGAAUCUUCCGCAAUGGGCGAAAGCCUGACGGAGCAACGCCGCGUGAUCGAAUGAAGGCCUUCGGGUUGUAAAGAUCUGUUGACAGGGACGAAUAAGCAAUGCGAAUAGUUUUGUGUAUGACGGUACCUGUUUAGAAAGCUCCGGCUAACUACGUGCCAGCAGCCGCGGUAAUACGGAGGGAGCAAGCGUUGACCGGAAUUACUGGGGGUAAAGGGCGGGUAGGUGGGCGCUUAAGUCAGGUGUGAAAACUCCGGGGUCAACCUGGUGACUGCACUUGAAACUGGGUGUCUUGAGGGCGGGAAAGGAAGGCGGAAUGCCUGGUGUAGCGGUGAAAUGCGUAGAUAUUAGGAAGAACACCAGUGGCGAAGGCGACUUUCUGGAGUGUACCUGACGCUGAGGCGCGAAAGCGUGGGUAGCGAACGGGAUUAGAUACCCCAGUAGUC
Molecule: ribosomal RNA, 464 nt
Filed under: uncultured bacterium
Lineage: Bacteria
Description: partial 16S ribosomal RNA
Rfam family: Bacterial small subunit ribosomal RNA
Source: RNAcentral